Molecule: long non-coding RNA, 1057 nt
Filed under: Diabrotica virgifera virgifera (western corn rootworm)
Lineage: Eukaryota; Metazoa; Arthropoda; Insecta; Coleoptera; Chrysomelidae
Description: uncharacterized LOC126891920
Source: RNAcentral
GCUAGCUAACCAACGACUUAAGAAGGUCAAAUACAGACAAAUAUGUGUUGGAGAAAAAACGGCAGAUGUCAUACAUAAAAGAAUAGGAGAUAUUCAAUAAAUCUAUUUUGGAAUUGCAAUUACAAAGCAAGCUAAAUAUAUCUGUAAAAAUAUAAUAUACCUAAAAUGAACGUCUGCCGUACCUAGAGAAUUAUAAAAUAGAACCAAGCUUUUAAUAUCCCACAAAGACAACUUAUAUGGAAAAUGCACUAAGAAUAACAUUCCUAUUAAUUAUCUGGAACGUAAAUCUUCCCUAAGAUGUGUAUACUCAUAGAGCCGCUUACCGUCUGAUAAACCGGCACGUCCAUAAGCCAACACUUUGAAUUAGAGCUGAAGCAAUUUCAUCUAGAUUGGAACAAAGAUAAGUGUACUUAAUUAAUGUUCUCAUUUAUAGACCGAAUUGUGUUCCGCAAUAUAUUAUAUAUUUAUUGGACAUUUGUUGUUAAGUACUAGAUUAUUUUUGUAACUUCCCUUAUCAUAUCUUUUACUAUCGGUUGUGUCUACACAACAAAUAAUAUUUUGUCAAUUUUUCAUCUAAAUCUCAAUGCAUGUAAGGGAACAUAAGUACUUAUAGACCUAAAGCAUUGGUCUCUAUAGGGUUCAUUACAUAAUAACUUAGGUAUUGUGGUAGAUAAUAUACAAGUAUAUUAAUACGGUAUUAUGAAGAAUAUCAUCUGGUUCUGUUGACUAGCACUCACUAUUGUUUUUCUGUCUCUUUAUUGUUUGUAUCUGAAAGAAACGUAAACUCAUAGAAAUCAUUUAAUAGUCGGAAACUUUUACGUUAUCUGCUUAUAUCUUGGCAACCAAAAUUUUAACAUUACUCAUAUUCAUUAUUUAUAUUAUUAAUUAAAUUUUACUAUUAUAUAUUCAUCUUGCAGGCCAAUGUUUUACAUUAUUAUACAUUAUUUAUAUUUUUAGCUAGAAAUUUUACAUUAUAUAUAUAUACAUUAGUUACCAAAAUCUUACUUUACAUAUAUCUAGGUAUUUUUUUUUACACAAUAAAAAUAAGGUAUACCUA